This 1458-nucleotide ribosomal RNA is filed under the name Triticum aestivum (bread wheat). Its description in RNAcentral is "partial small subunit ribosomal RNA". The record is from RNAcentral. Lineage: Eukaryota; Viridiplantae; Streptophyta; Magnoliopsida; Poales; Poaceae.
AUGGAAGAGGCCGCGGUGGCGGGCAAGCUGAGUAGGUUGGAGCUCCAGCGCGGCGCCGCCGACGCGCCGUCCUUCCGGAUGGAGGACCUGCCCGUGGAGGUUCAACCUGUUAUAAUGUCACUGCUGCCACUGGAAGAGGCCGUGAGGACAAGCAUUGUUUCAAGAAGUUGGAAAAUGCUCUGGAGAUUCCACCGCGACCUAUGUUUUGAUGAUCCCAGUGAUCCCGAUUCUGACACCGAUGACGAGUUCGCUGCUCAGGAUAGUACCAAAAUAAAGCAAGCAAAGUUCAUUGAGACUGUAGAUUCGGUUAUUCAACAACAUAGUGGGAUAGGAGUCAACAAGUUCAGCAUCAGGUGUGGCCUGCACAAAGAAGACUCUGAUCAUCUUGACAGGUGGAUUUCCUUUGCCACUUCAUCAAAGGCGAAGAUAAUACAUUUUGAUCUGCUAAUAAUUGAUGGUCCAUUAUAUGGAGUUCACCACUUCCCUCUUGAGGCCUUAGAUGCUCAAGAUAGCUCAUUUGUGCAGUCAUUGUUUCUCGCUGCUGUUUCUAUAAAGCCACACUCAGGAAUAUGUGGCUUUACAAUACUCAGAAAUCUUGUUCUGAAAUCUGUUCAGAUAUUUGGGGAUUUUCCUGGCUUGCUUGCAAAGUGUUCAGCACUUGAGGACUUGCAGACCAUCGGCUGCUCUCGUGUUACUAGUUUAAGCGUACCACACAAACUCGAUAAACUUCAACAUUUGCUAAUUGAUAGUACAAGGGAUAUCAAGACGGUUGAGUUUCAUGCUGUUGAUCUUGCUCAUUUUGAGUACAGAGGGGAAGUGAUCUCUAUAGUGCUUCAUGGUUGCUCAAAAUUAGAGAAGGCAACAAUAAUGUUUAUGGCCCCUAAAGCAGUGACCCACACAUUCACUGCAGUUCCAAGCAUUUUGCCAGUAAAGAUAUUACAUAUGCAAGCUGUUAUAUCAAAAUAUCCACAGUUGCAGAAGCUGCCAGCAAGACCACAGGGCAUGUUUAUGCAUUUGAGGCAUAUGACUUGCCAACUAAGUGUAAAUUGUAGAGAAGCAAAUUACGAUAAUGAAGUUCUUCAACUGGCCCAUUGUCUGGAUGCUGCACCCGGACUGGAGACAUUGCACUUGCAUAUGUUUUAUAUGAUAUCCAGUGGUGUCUCCAGUGCUGAGGUGGCGGGUAUGCGCCAUGAUCAUCUCAAGACGGUCUUCAUGAGCGGAUUUCGCUGUUACAAGGCUCAGAUUGAGCUGGCGUGUUGUAUCUUGGGAAAUGCUUGUGUUCUUGAGCAGCUGACGAUAGAACCAAAGGUCACAAACACAAUAUGGGCGGGUAAUUAUUAUGCGUGGAAUAAAGGCCUCAAAAGAAUUUUACCGAGGGUCUGUGAGUGGGCACAGAUCACCUCGGAGCGCUUCAGUAAGGUGAUCACCGUGUUAGGUGCGCCCCUUCACAGUGAGUAA